RNAcentral lists this ribosomal RNA (253 nucleotides) under uncultured bacterium. RNAcentral describes it as "partial 16S ribosomal RNA". It matches the Rfam family "Bacterial small subunit ribosomal RNA", at positions 524 to 776 of the family's 1533-position model. The record is from RNAcentral.
UACGUAGGGUGCAAGCGUUGUCCGGAAUUAUUGGGCGUAAAGAACUCGUAGGCGGUUUGUCGCGUCUGCUGUGAAAACUCGGGGCUUAACCCUGGGCCUGCAGUGGGUACGGGCAGACUAGAGUGCGGUAGGGGAGACUGGAAUUCCUGGUGUAGCGGUGAAAUGCGCAGAUAUCAGGAGGAACACCGGUGGCGAAGGCGGGUCUCUGGGCCGUAACUGACGCUGAGGAGCGAAAGCGUGGGGAGCGAACAGG